UACAGAGGGUGCAAGCGUUGUUCGGAAUUAUUGGGCGUAAAGCGCGUGUAGGCGGAUUUGCAAGUCGGGUGUGAAAGCCCUCAGCUCAACUGAGGAAGUGCGCCCGAAACUGCAGAUCUUGAGUACCGGAGAGGAUGGCGGAAUUCCCCAAGUAGAGGUGAAAUUCGUAGAUAUGGGGAGGAACACCGGUGGCGAAGGCGGCCAUCUGGACGGAUACUGACGCUGAGACGCGAAAGCGUGGGUAGCAAGCAGG
RNAcentral lists this ribosomal RNA (253 nucleotides) under uncultured bacterium. RNAcentral describes it as "partial 16S ribosomal RNA". It matches the Rfam family "Bacterial small subunit ribosomal RNA", at positions 524 to 776 of the family's 1533-position model. The record is from RNAcentral.